AGUGAAGCGGGAACAGCUCAAAUUUGAAAUCUGGCCCUUGGGUCCGAGUUGUAAUUUGCAGAGGAUGCUUUUGGUGCGGUGCCUUCCGAGUUCCCUGGAACGGGACGCCUUAGAGGGUGAGAGCCCCGUACGGUUGGACACCAAGCCUAUGUAAAGCUCCUUCGACGAGUCGAGUAGUUUGGGAAUGCUGCUCAAAAUGGGAGGUAUAUUUCUUCUAAAGCUAAAUAUUGGCCAGAGACCGAUAGCGCACAAGUAGAGUGAUCGAAAGAUGAAAAGCACUUUGAAAAGAGGGUUAAAUAGCACGUGAAAUUGUUGAAAGGGAAGGAUUUAUGACCAGACUUUUUCUGGGGGGAUCAUCCGGUGUUCUCACCGGUGCACUUCCCCCAGUUGAGGCCAGCAUCGGUUUCUGUCGAGGGAUAAAAGCUUUAGGAAUGUGGCUCUCUCCGGGGAGUGUUAUAGCCUGUUGCAUAAUACCUUGACGGGGACCGAGGUUCGCGCAUUGCAAGGAUGCUGGCGUAAUGGUUAUUAAUCACCCGUCUUGAAACACGGACCAAGGAGUCGAACAUUUGUGCGAGUGUUUGGGUGUUAAACCCUCACGCGUAAUGAAAGUGAACGGAGGUGAGAGCCUUUAGGGGUGCAUCAUCGACCGAUCCUGAUGUCUUCGGAUGGAUUUGAGUAAGAGCAUAACUGUUCGGACCCGAAAGAUGGUGAACUAUGCGUGGAUAGGGUGAAGCCAGAGGAAACUCUGGUGGAGGCUCGCAGCGGUUCUGACGUGCAAAUCGAUCGUCAAAUCUGCGCAUGGGGGCGAAAGACUAAUCGAACCAUUGACCAGCGGUCAAAACAAUCACUAGGUGGUUAAGAGGGGGUCCGCGAGGACCAUUUGAAAAACCUAGGCUGAGCCCGGUUACCCUGUAGGUUACCCUGUAGCUACCCUGUAGCUUACC
RNAcentral lists this ribosomal RNA (944 nucleotides) under Apiospora aquatica. RNAcentral describes it as "Arthrinium aquaticum partial large subunit ribosomal RNA". It matches the Rfam family "Eukaryotic large subunit ribosomal RNA", at positions 92 to 1414 of the family's 3401-position model. Lineage: Eukaryota; Fungi; Ascomycota; Sordariomycetes; Amphisphaeriales; Apiosporaceae. The record is from RNAcentral.